AACACUGCACCCUUAUGGGUGCGGCUAUGGAGAAGGUUCAGUCUACGAAAAGCGGACUGACCGAAGCCUUCCACAGCCUACUAACAGGCUUCGAGGUAAGCGGCUUAAUAUUCUUCAUGAGUAUUCUGUAUAUAUAUGUGUGUGGCGAUGCCCAUGUGUAGACAGUAGCCCCUGAGACUCUGUUUGGAUUAUAACAAUCUGAACAGAGGAUCAUUAACAAGUAUAUCAUGCACUGUUUUUUUAUAUUCGACAUGCUUCGAAGCUGGCGGCUACUGUCCAGGCCGCAGAAAUUGCCGAGCUCAAUCGAAAGCUCUGGCUAUCCGAUGAGGAACUCGACCGUACAAAUAAGCGGUUCGACGAAACCCAAGUUGUCAUAGACGAGGUCGAGUCCCUCAAGAGCAUCCUUGCCAAAGCCAAGAAGGAAGCAGAGGCGAGCAAGGUGGCCGCGGACAGUCGCGGGUGGAGGAAAUAGAGAAGGAGCUCAAGGACGCCAUCACAUGGUACGAGUCCUUGGAGUAGAAGAGUUCGGAGAAGGCCUCUGAACUCACCAAAGCUCUUGAGAGUCUGAAGGAGGCCCGGGCUGAUGCCCAGGGUGCUCGCCAGGAGAUACAAGAGGCGAAGCGGAUUGUGGCUGGCGCCUUUGCUGAUCUGACGAAGAGUAUUGCGGAUGCUGCCACAUUUUUCCAAGCCAAAGAGGGGAGCUCGAUGAAGAAGUUAUUCUGGUUGCAGUACCUUGCGCCGGAACUUCCCGUGGCCUUGAGCGACCAGCUGAAGCAGUUGUCCGAGCUGCACAGGGUGGCCGGACUAGCCAUGAAGUAUGUUAUAAUCCGCUUGUGGCCGGCCGAUCACAUCCCUAAUAGUCACUUUGGCCUCGUGCAGAGGCUAGUGGAGGCGCUUCCUCGGAUCGAUGCCCUCAGGCGGUCGUCCUGCAUCGAAGGUGCCCGAAUGGCCUUUGCCCGUGUCAAGGUGCAGUGGGCAAAGAUGAAGGCCGUCAAAAUUGCUACCUCAGGGCCGCCUGAAGGGAAAGAGCACCGGCGGCCGGAGAAGUACUUUGACGAGGUCCUUGAGGGAGCCCGCAUUGUGGAGGGGCAGUGUUCGAAGGAUGCCAUCUUUGAG
Molecule: long non-coding RNA, 1116 nt
Organism: Triticum aestivum (bread wheat)
Lineage: Eukaryota; Viridiplantae; Streptophyta; Magnoliopsida; Poales; Poaceae
Exons: 3
Source: RefSeq, a predicted model, not a curated record